UGUCUUCCUUCUUCUCCUUGCAAACUCACGGCACAAUGAGGGAUGAUUGGUGAAUGGUAUAGUGAAAAUCUGGUAGAGGGUGGUGAGUGAAAGGGUGCGGCAAUGGGUUGUAUAUAUAGGCUGAAAAUCCCAUCUCCUAGGUAGCAAAGGACAAGGUUUUAAAGGCCUAAAUUGCAUAGGAUAAUAACAUCCAAUCCUAUAAGGAAAACAAGUCAAAACCCCAAAGGGAUUGGGAGAUAAGGUGCAGCACAAAGAGUGUGAAAUGAUAAGGCUUCUAGAAACCAAAAUCCUAAAGGAAAUAGGGUAGAAAAUUCGGCACAAAGUGUGGUUUCUAGAAGGAUAAUGCAAGGUAGAUUUUUAGGCUUCUAGAAAGGUUCUUAGGUGUCAUCUUGGUAGGAUAAGAUAAGGUCUUCUAGAAAUCCCAUUUUAAGCAUCCUAAUCUAAUUAGAAACCCUCCUAAGUGGCUGG
Molecule: long non-coding RNA, 468 nt
Filed under: Malus domestica (apple)
Lineage: Eukaryota; Viridiplantae; Streptophyta; Magnoliopsida; Rosales; Rosaceae
Description: long non-coding RNA (MDOM_LNC004442)
Source: RNAcentral